CCCUUAGAUGUCCUGGGCCGCGCGCGCGCUACACUGACAUGUUCAACAAGCCUCCUAGUUCGACAGGAUUUGGGAAAUCUUUGAACGCAUGUCGUGAUAGGGAUAGAUCAUUGCAAUUAUUGAUCUUGAACGAGGAAUUCCUAGUAAACGCGAGUCAUCAGCUCGCAUUGAUUACGUCCCUGCCCUUUGUACACACCGCCCGUCGCACCUACCGAUUGAAUGUUUCGGUGAAGAUUCCGGAUAGGACUUUUUUGAUUUAUUUCAAUUCUGUCUUAAAAGCUAUCUAAACCUCAACAUUUAGAGGAAGGUGAAGUCGUAACA
Molecule: ribosomal RNA, 321 nt
Filed under: uncultured eukaryote
Lineage: Eukaryota
Description: partial 18S ribosomal RNA
Rfam family: Eukaryotic small subunit ribosomal RNA
Source: RNAcentral